RNAcentral lists this ribosomal RNA (492 nucleotides) under uncultured bacterium. RNAcentral describes it as "partial 16S ribosomal RNA". It matches the Rfam family "Bacterial small subunit ribosomal RNA", at positions 29 to 507 of the family's 1533-position model. The record is from RNAcentral.
AGUGAGCGCUGGCGGUAGGCCUAACACAUGCGAGUCGAACGGCAGCACAGUAAGAGCUUGCUCUUACGGGUGGCGAGUGGCGGACGGGUGAGGAAUACAUCGGAAUCUACUUUUUCGUGGGGGAUAACGUAGGGAAACUUACGCUAAUACCGCAUACGACCUACGGGUGAAAGCAGGGGAUCUUCGGACCUUGCGCGAUUGAAUGAGCCGAUGUCGGAUUAGCUAGUUGGCGGCGUAAAGGCCCACCAAGGCGACGAUCCGUAGCUGGUCUGAGUGGAUGAUCAGCCACACUGGAACUGAGACACUGUCCACACUCCUACGGGAGGCAGCAGGGGGGAAUAUUGGACAAUGGGCGCAAGCCUGAUCCAGCCAUACCGCGUGGGUGAAGAAGGCCUUCGGGUUGUAUGGCCCUUUUGUUGGGAAAGAAAAGCAGCAGGUUAAUACCCCGCUGUUCUGACGGUACCCAAAGAAUAAGCACCGGCUAACUUCGUG